UAUAUUUGUAAGGGAUUUAUUAAGUUUUGAUUCCACUGCAUAAAUAUUAUCAUGUACUCGUCAUUCUGAAUUUGUAUUUGACACCCAUUUGCCUUAAUUUGCACCUGGGAUGUCACACAUGCCUUCACUUCAAAUAGCCAUAACUUGCUCAAUUCUUAUGCAUCUUCGGCCCAUUUUACCUUCACUUGCUCAUCAUAGUUUUAGCUACUUAUUAACCUAAUUUGCGCUCAAAACAACCCCAUUUGGCCCAUCUAAAGUGUAAAAGGCCAAACCACACUCAAAUUUAUGCCCAU
This 293-nucleotide long non-coding RNA is filed under the name Carica papaya (papaya). Its description in RNAcentral is "long non-coding RNA (CPAP_LNC005362)". The record is from RNAcentral. Lineage: Eukaryota; Viridiplantae; Streptophyta; Magnoliopsida; Brassicales; Caricaceae.